UUCCUACGGGACGCAGCAGUAGGGAAUUUUCGUCAAUGGGCGCAAGCCUGAACGAGCAAUACCGCGUGAACGAGGAAGGUCUUCGGAUCGUAAAGUUCUGUUGAAGGGGAAAAAGAGCGGAGAGAGGAAAUGGUCUCCGAUUGAUAUUACCCUUCGAGGAAGUCACGGCUAACUACGUGCCAGCAGCCGCGGUAAUACGUAGGUGGCGAGCGUUAUCCGGAUUCACUGGGUGUAAAGGGAGCGUAGACGGCGAGACAAGUCUGGAGUGAAAGGCCGGGGCCCAACCCCGGGACGGCUCUGGAAAC
RNAcentral lists this ribosomal RNA (305 nucleotides) under uncultured bacterium. RNAcentral's name for it is "bacterial SSU rRNA". It matches the Rfam family "Bacterial small subunit ribosomal RNA", at positions 336 to 633 of the family's 1533-position model. The record is from RNAcentral.